This 196-nucleotide non-coding RNA is filed under the name Acidovorax sp. CF316. RNAcentral's name for it is "FMN riboswitch aptamer (RFN element)". It matches the Rfam family "FMN riboswitch aptamer (RFN element)". Rfam says of the family: The RFN element is a highly conserved domain that is found frequently in the 5'-untranslated regions of prokaryotic mRNAs that encode for flavin mononucleotide (FMN) biosynthesis and transport proteins. This element is a metabolite-dependent riboswitch that directly binds FMN in the absence of proteins. RNAcentral also lists the same sequence under 1 other name. Lineage: Bacteria; Pseudomonadati; Pseudomonadota; Betaproteobacteria; Burkholderiales; Comamonadaceae. The record is from Rfam by way of RNAcentral.
CAGCGUUCUCAGGGCGGGGUGCAAUUCCCCACCGGCGGUAUCUGUGCAGUCUUGGGCCAUCCAGGGCAGUGCAGGAGCCCGCGAGCGCCUGCAGCAACUGGCUGGUGUCUUCGGAUGCAUGCCAGGAGCGGCGGGGUCAGCAGAUCUGGUGCGAUGCCAGAGCCGACGGUCACAGUCCGGAUGAAAGAGAUCGCGA